RNAcentral lists this ribosomal RNA (466 nucleotides) under uncultured bacterium. RNAcentral's name for it is "partial 16S ribosomal RNA". It matches the Rfam family "Bacterial small subunit ribosomal RNA", at positions 29 to 523 of the family's 1533-position model. The record is from RNAcentral.
AACGAACGCUGGCGGCAGGCUUAACACAUGCAAGUCGAACGAGCUGGGAACUUCGGUUCCCGAUGCUAGUGGCGCACGGGUGAGUAACACGUGGGAACGUAACCUUUAGUACGGAAUAACUCAGGGAAACUUGAGCUAAUACCGUAUGACUCCUUCGGGAGAAAGAUUUAUCGCUAAAGGAACGGCCCGCGUCUGAUUAGGUAGUUGGUAGGGUAACGGCCUACCAAGCCGACGAUCAGUAGCUGGUCUGAGAGGAUGAUCAGCCACACUGGGACUGAGACACGGCCCAGACUCCAACGGGAGGCAGCAGUGGGGAAUAUUGCACAAGGGGCGCAAGCCUGAUGCAGCGACGCCGCGUGGGGGAUGACGGCGUUCGGGUUGUAAACCUCUUUCAGCACCGACGAAGCGCAAGUGACGGUAGGUGCAGAAGAAGGACCGGCAAACUACGUGCCAGCCGCCGCAGUAA